GAUGAACGCUAGCGCUAGGCUUAACACAUGCAAGUCGAGGGGCAGCAUGGUCUUAGCUUGCUAAGACUGAUGGCGACCGGCGCACGGGUGCGUAACGCGUAUGCAACUUGCCUCACAGAGGGGGAUAACCCGUCGAAAGACGGACUAAUACCGCGUACACUUGGGAUAGGGCAUCCUGACCCAAGGAAAUGAAAUUCGCUGUGAGAUAGGCAUGCGUCCCAUUAGCUAGUUGGUGAGGUAACGGCUCACCAAGGCGACGAUGGGUAGGGGAACUGAGAGGUUGAACCCCCACACUGGUACUGAGACACGGACCAGACUCCUACGGGAGGCAGCAGUGAGGAAUAUUGGUCAAUGGGCGAGAGCCUGAACCAGCCAAGUCGCGUGAAGGAUGACUGUCUUAUGGAUUGUAAACUUCUUUUAUACGGGAAUAACAAGAGCCACGUGUGGCUCCCUGCAUGUACCGUAUGAAUAAGCAUCGGCUAACUCCGUG
RNAcentral lists this ribosomal RNA (490 nucleotides) under uncultured bacterium. RNAcentral describes it as "partial 16S ribosomal RNA". It matches the Rfam family "Bacterial small subunit ribosomal RNA", at positions 28 to 507 of the family's 1533-position model. The record is from RNAcentral.